AUGUCCCGAAUAAACUAUGGUGUCAUUACCCUGAUCCCCAAAGUAGUUGGGGCGAUGGACAUUAGAGACUUUAGAUCUAUCAUAGUGAUUAACGUACUUGAGCGUGUUUUCUCGAAAGUUUGCGCGACCCGGCUAGCCCCUGUAGCGGAGCGGCUAGACCACCCCCUCCAGACGACAUUCUAGAAGGGGCGAUGGAUCCAUGAUGGGAUCCUGGCCCUCCGCGAGAUUGUCCAUGAGGUAAAGACGUGCGUCCAUAAAGGUGUCUUUCUCAAGUUGGAUUUCCAGAAGGCGUACGACCGCCUGGACUGGUCAUUCUUGCAGUUGGUGCUUCAACGAUGGGGCUUUGAUGACAGAAGGUGUUCACGGAUGAUGUAG
RNAcentral lists this ribosomal RNA (375 nucleotides) under Triticum aestivum (bread wheat). RNAcentral describes it as "partial small subunit ribosomal RNA". The record is from RNAcentral. Lineage: Eukaryota; Viridiplantae; Streptophyta; Magnoliopsida; Poales; Poaceae.